This 720-nucleotide ribosomal RNA is filed under the name uncultured bacterium. Its description in RNAcentral is "bacterial SSU rRNA". It matches the Rfam family "Bacterial small subunit ribosomal RNA", at positions 8 to 747 of the family's 1533-position model. The record is from RNAcentral.
AGAGUUUGAUCAUGGCUCAGGAUGAACGCUGGCGGCGUGCCUAAUACAUGCAAGUCGAACGGAGAAUGUAGCAAUACGUUCUCAGUGGCGAACGGGUGAGUAACGCGUUGGUGACCUGCCCCGAAGUGUGGGAUAACAGUCCGAAAGGAUUGCUAAUACCGCAUGUGGUCACCGGGAUUAGAGGCCCGGUGACUAAAGGAGUAAUUCGCUUCGGGAGGGGCCUGCGUCCCAUCAGCUAGUUGGUAAGGUAAUGGCUUACCAAGGCUUCGACGGGUAGGGGACCUGAGAGGGUGGCCCCCCACAAUGGAACUGAAACACGGUCCAUACACCUACGGGUGGCAGCAGUAGGGAAUAUUGGUAAUCUGGGAAACCGGGAACCAGCAACGCCGCGUGUGCGAUGAAGGCCUUCGGGUUGUAAAGCACUUUUUGAGGGGAUGAGGAAGGACAGUACCCUCAGAAUAAGUCUCGGCUAACUACGUGCCAGCAGCCGCGGUAACACGUAGGAGACGAGCGUUAUCCGGAUUUACUGGGCGUAAAGCGCGUGCAGGCGGCUCGGCAAGUUGGAUGUGAAAGCUCCUGGCUUAACUGGGAGAGGUCGUUCAAAACUACCGGGCUUGAGGAUGGUAGAGGAAGGCGGAAUUCAGGGUGUAGUGGUGAAAUGCGUAGGUAUCCUGAGGAACUCCAGUGGCGAAAGCGGCCUUCUGGACCAUUUCUGACGCU